AGGACCUGCUGGGCCCCAAGG
RNAcentral lists this unclassified non-coding RNA (21 nucleotides) under Chlamydomonas reinhardtii. RNAcentral describes it as "small RNA Cre_0513". Lineage: Eukaryota; Viridiplantae; Chlorophyta; Chlorophyceae; Chlamydomonadales; Chlamydomonadaceae. The record is from RNAcentral.